UACGUAGGGGGCAAGCGUUGUUCGGAUUUAUUGGGCGUAAAGAGCGUGUAGGCGGCCAGGUAGGUCUGGUGUGAAAACUCGAGGCUCAACCUCGAGAGGUCAUCGGAAACCAUCUGGCUAGAGUCCGGAAGAGGAGAGUGGAAUUCCCGGUGUAGCGGUGAAAUGCGCAGAUAUCGGGAAGAACACCUAUGGCGAAGGCAGCUCUCUGGGACGGUACUGACGCUGAGACGCGAAAGCGUGGGGAGCGAACAGG
This 253-nucleotide ribosomal RNA is filed under the name uncultured bacterium. RNAcentral's name for it is "partial 16S ribosomal RNA". It matches the Rfam family "Bacterial small subunit ribosomal RNA", at positions 524 to 776 of the family's 1533-position model. The record is from RNAcentral.